Molecule: ribosomal RNA, 253 nt
Filed under: uncultured bacterium
Lineage: Bacteria
Description: partial 16S ribosomal RNA
Rfam family: Bacterial small subunit ribosomal RNA
Source: RNAcentral
UACGGGGGGGGCAAGCGUUGUUCGGAAUUACUGGGCGUAAAGGGCUCGUAGGUGGCCAACUAAGUCAGACGUGAAAUCCCUCAGCUUAACUGGGGAACUGCGUCUGAUACUGGAUGGCUCGAGUUUGGGAGAGGGAUGCGGAAUUCCAGGUGUAGUGGUGAGAUGCGUAGAGAUCAGGAGGAACACCGGUGGCGAAGGCGGCCUACUGGGCUGUCUCUGACGCUGAGGCGCGAAAGCUCGGGGAGCGAACGGG